Molecule: ribosomal RNA, 253 nt
Filed under: uncultured bacterium
Lineage: Bacteria
Description: partial 16S ribosomal RNA
Rfam family: Bacterial small subunit ribosomal RNA
Source: RNAcentral
UACGUAGGUGGCGAGCGUUGUCCGGAUUUACUGGGCGUAAAGGGCGUGCAGGCGGUUUGUUAAGUGCAGGGUGAAAGCUCCCGGCUCAACUGGGAGAGGUCCUUGCAUACUGGCGAACUCGAGGGAGGCAGAGGAAAGUGGAAUUCCCGGUGUAGUGGUGAUAUGCGUAGAUAUCGGGAGGAACACCUGUGGCGAAGGCGGCUUUCUGGGCCUUACCUGACGCUGAGACGCGAAAGCGUGGGGAGCGAACGGG